This 509-nucleotide ribosomal RNA is filed under the name uncultured bacterium. Its description in RNAcentral is "partial 16S ribosomal RNA". It matches the Rfam family "Bacterial small subunit ribosomal RNA", at positions 355 to 853 of the family's 1533-position model. The record is from RNAcentral.
UGGGGAAUUUUGGACAAUGGGCGAAAGCCUGAUCCAGCAAUGCCGCGUGUGUGAAGAAGGCCUUCGGGUUGUAAAGCACUUUUGUCCGGAAAGAAAUCCUUGGCUCUAAUACAGUCGGGGGAUGACGGUACCGGAAGAAUAAGCACCGGCUAACUACGUGCCAGCAGCCGCGGUAAUACGUAGGGUGCAAGCGUUAAUCGGAAUUACUGGGCGUAAAGCGUGCGCAGGCGGUUUGCUAAGACCGAUGUGAAAUCCCCGGGCUCAACCUGGGAACUGCAUUGGUGACUGGCAGGCUAGAGUAUGGCAGAGGGGGGUAGAAUUCCACGUGUAGCAGUGAAAUGCGUAGAGAUGUGGAGGAAUACCGAUGGCGAAGGCAGCCCCCUGGGCCAAAUACUGGAGCUCAUGCACGAAAAGCGUGGGGAGCAAAACAGGAUUAGAUACCCUGGUAGUCCACGCCCUAAAACGAUGUCAACUAGUUGUUGGGGAUUCAUUUCCUUAGUAACGUAGCU